Non-coding RNA from Danio rerio (zebrafish), 393 nucleotides. The record is from RefSeq and is a predicted model, not a curated record. Lineage: Eukaryota; Metazoa; Chordata; Actinopteri; Cypriniformes; Danionidae.
ACAAGUGUAUGAGAGGUGAAGGUCUGGAAACAAGGAAGUGCAAUGUGCACUUAAACAAAAUGGACUUUAACUGUCAGACUCCAGGUUAGACACCCAACCUGUAAAAAAUCAACCUGCCAGACAAGCACUCAAAUGAAGGAACAAAGCAAGCAAGAGUAAAACCAGCAGAAAGACACCGCAAGAGAGGCCGCAAAAAGGAAGGAAGAAGUUUGUAACAGUGAGUGAGAGAGAGAGGGAGGGACGAACGACAGGCAUAUAUAUGCUGUCAGGACGACCGGCUCUUCUAAGCACAGAAUACCCUGUUUACGUGUCGAGACAGAAGGAGAAGCCGAGGGCAGAGGAACAUUUGAAAAGGGAAGAUGGUUCGGUAAGUUGAGACAGACUUUUCACGCA